AGUGAACGCUGGCGGCGUGCCUAAUACAUGCAAGUCGAACGGAGUGGCGCACGGGUGAGUAAUGUAUAGCUAAUCUGCCCUACACUAGAGGACAACAGUUGGAAACGACUGCUAAUACUCUAUAGUGUAGGAUGAGGCUAUAUUGUAUCAGCUAGUUGGUGAGGUAAUGGCUCACAAAGGCUAUGACGCAUAACUGGUCUGAGAGGAUGAACAGUAACAAUGGAACGGAGACACGGUCCGGACUCCUACGGGAGGUAGCAGUAGGGAAUAUUGAGCAAUGGGGGAAACCCUGAAGGAACAACGCCGCGUGGAGGAUUACACUUUUCGGAGCGUAAACUCAUUUUGUUAGGGAAGAGUUACCUAACGAAUAAGCACCGGCUAACCCCGAGCCAGCAGCCGCGGUAAUAC
Molecule: ribosomal RNA, 408 nt
Filed under: uncultured bacterium
Lineage: Bacteria
Description: partial 16S ribosomal RNA
Rfam family: Bacterial small subunit ribosomal RNA
Source: RNAcentral